CCCGCCACUACACCCGUCUGCUGGUGACUGAGUGUAAUCCAGUGGAGGCUCAGAGCGACCCGGCUUCAGGAAACAGAGCUGUUCACACUAAUGGACACUUCUGUGCCGAAAAGUCUGGAACAAGA
Molecule: small nucleolar RNA, 125 nt
Organism: Amphiprion ocellaris (clown anemonefish)
Lineage: Eukaryota; Metazoa; Chordata; Actinopteri; Pomacentridae
Product: small nucleolar RNA SNORA65
Source: Ensembl